RNAcentral lists this ribosomal RNA (494 nucleotides) under uncultured bacterium. RNAcentral's name for it is "partial 16S ribosomal RNA". It matches the Rfam family "Bacterial small subunit ribosomal RNA", at positions 28 to 507 of the family's 1533-position model. The record is from RNAcentral.
GACGAACGCUGGCGGCGUGCUUAACACAUGCAAGUCGAACGGUGAAGCGCCUUCCUUUUUGGUGGGUGUGGAUGAGUGGCGAACGGGUGAGUAACACGUGAGUAACCUGCCCCCUUCUUCUGGAUAACCGCAUGAAAGUGUGGCUAAUACGGGAUAUUCUGGGUCUGUCGCAUGAUGGGUCUGGGAAAGAUAUUGUUUCGGUGGGGGAUGGGCUCGCGGCCUAUCAGCUUGUUGGUGGGGUGAUGGCCUACCAAGGCGGUGACGGGUAGCCGGCCUGGGAGGGUGGACGGUCACACUGGGACUAAGACACGGCCCAGACUCCUACGGGAGGCAGCGGUGGGGAAUAUUGCACAAUGGGCGGAAGCCUGAUGCAGCGACGCCGCGGGAGGGAUGGAGGCCUGCGGGUUGUGAACCUCUUUCGCCGGUGAAGCAGGCCUGCCUCGUUUGUGGGUGGGUUGACGGUAGCUGGAUAAGAAGCGCCGGCUAACUACGUG